GCAAGAUUGGUUAAGCAUCUGACAGAAAAUGGGAUUGGACCAACAAGUCUAUUGGAGGAUAGAUCCAAUGCAAAUAAAUUCGUUAGUCUCCCAAUUUCUUGAGGAAUGGAUCCAUUAAGUUUGUUGCUUUGAAGGAACAACGAGGCAAGACUGGUUAAGCUGCUGACAGAAGAUGGGAUUGGACCAACAAGACUAUUGGAGGAUAGAUCCAAUGCAGAUAAAUUCGUUAGUCUCCCUAUUUCUUGAGGAAUGGAUCCAUUAAGUUUGUUGCUUUGAAGGAACAACGAGUCAAGACUGGUUAAGUUGCUGACAGAAGAUGGGAUUGGACCAACAAGACUAUUGGAGGAUAGAUCCAAUGCAAAUAAAUUCGUUAGUCUCC
Molecule: long non-coding RNA, 379 nt
Filed under: Gossypium raimondii (Peruvian cotton)
Lineage: Eukaryota; Viridiplantae; Streptophyta; Magnoliopsida; Malvales; Malvaceae
Description: long non-coding RNA (GRAI_LNC004339)
Source: RNAcentral